UUCUCCAACUAUGUGUGAGGUUCUGCCCGCCCUGAGCUCUCAGGCGGGGCUCCCUGGGAGGCAGCUGGGGCACCACCCCAGGUGGGCUCCGAUGGUCUCACUCCUCCCUUUGAUCCCUUUGUUGUCUUCUUUCUUAAAGGAUCAGAGACAAGAGUGAUCACCUGUUAGCAAAACUCUUCACUUUGCAUGUCAAUCCACCGCACAUGCAUUCCAUGGCAGGCCUGUUUCACACCAGCAUGACAAAGCUGGAGAGACUCACCCCACGAGGAAGGGGCGCCCCAGCUUCUGGGCCACCGUUAGGCAACAGCAAUUGUGUUUCCGUUAUUAGCCAGCACAGGAGAGCCGAAGC
This is a long non-coding RNA of Hippopotamus amphibius kiboko, 349 nucleotides long. RefSeq lists it as uncharacterized. NCBI's taxonomy places the organism in Eukaryota, Metazoa, Chordata, Mammalia, Artiodactyla, Hippopotamidae. The transcript is spliced from 3 exons. The record is from RefSeq and is a predicted model, not a curated record.